UAGUGUGUGGUUCUCUCUUGGAAUAUUUUUCAGGUGAUUUAAUAAAACUUAAUACUACUAUAGGAGCUUCAGAACAAAGGAGGUGGCUUAAUGAUCCUGAAGGGAUUUCUUCUGGUGGUAGCUUUUGUAUUAUCAAGCUUUUUUCAGAAAGAAAAAGACAAAACGAAAAUAAAAAAAAAAAAGAAGAGUCUUCUCCAACACCACAGUUCAAAAAGGCGCUCAGCCUUCUUCACAGUCCAACUCUCACAUCAUACAUGACCAUUGGAAAAACCAUAGCCUUGACUAGACGGACCUUUGUUGGCAAAUGAGGUCCAGCCUAUCUCCGUCAGUCCCUGGUGAGAACUUGUUCUAUAUACAGGCUCCAAUGUGGUGAAUCAACUUCCAUUGUCAAUUUUGUGCUGCAUUUAAGUGAGCUGCUGCUCCUGAUGAUUCUCCCCACCACACCCUUGUACCAUCUCAAUUAGUUCUCAAGCUUUAAACUGCAUUGAUAUCUUGAUGACUCCUAUAAGUACAUCUCUAGCCCAGAACACUUCUACUGGGAACUCCAGUUUCUAGCAUCCAACCAGCUACAGGUUAUGUCAAGUUCAUAUGUGCAUAAUGGAGUUCUUAGCGAUGGAACGCUACAUCACUUCUGAACAAGCGAUAAGACAUUUCUCCUCCUGUGGGAAGAAGGAAACAAGGAAAAGAAAAAACAACAGGAUGUCUCUUCAGGAAUCCUUCUCAGUUCUACCUACACAAGAGGGAAUAAGUGCCCUGUGAGCCCUGGCAACAACCGUCUUCACAUGAGGAAUUGCUCUGCUCUGUGAAAGGGCUGGAAAAGGUUAGAUCAGGACAGCAUCUACCCUGAUGAAGUCAGGAUGGCACAGCCCAUGACAAAGAUUCUCAUUUUCCCACAUUUCUAUUGAAGAUCAAUCACUUUUCUCACCUGUAGUUGUUUUGUUUUGUUUUUUUUUUUAUGUUCUGUUAACAUAAAAAAUCUAGUUGAUGUCAAAUCUCAUGGGCCUGAAAGCUUUCUGCCUUUCAAAACACUCUACAUGUCUCUAUUCUCAUCCAUUAUUAUAUCUCAAUCUUAAUUCCCUCAAUUCCAAAUCCAUAAAGGAUAACACAGUCCCACCAGCAUCAUAUGAGAAGUACUGAAUAGACUCCAUGGAGAUAAAACCCCACCACAAGGCAGACAGGUUCUUUUCUGUUACAUUCUCCUGGGAACUUUCAUUUAAUAGUAGUAAUUGCUUUCCUUUUAUAGAUAUGUCUAGCUUGCAGUUUAAUUUUUUAAAAUUAAAAAAAUAAUUGUUUAGUAAUAAAUACAUGAGUGCUGAGCUUAUUUUUAAGCAGUUCAGAACAGUCACUCAGUCAUGUCCAACUCUUUGUGACCCUGUAGACAGCAGCACACAAGGCUUCCCUGUACAUCAAGGAAAGGUUAAAAUAAAAGUCAAAAAACUGGUUAAUUCUGGGAGUAGAAGUGGGGAAAUGAAACUGGUAUGGAGCACAGGGUACUUUCCAAGUACAGUUAAUCUGCAUUGUUGGGUACAGUGGUGUUUCUUGUUAUUAUGCAUACACUAGUUAUAUAUUUUAAUAUAUAUAUGAAUAGUACAUUUCAAAAAUAAAAAAUAGCUUAUUCAU
Molecule: long non-coding RNA, 1620 nt
Organism: Bos taurus (domestic cattle)
Lineage: Eukaryota; Metazoa; Chordata; Mammalia; Artiodactyla; Bovidae
Source: Ensembl